This 455-nucleotide long non-coding RNA is filed under the name Olea europaea (common olive). RNAcentral describes it as "long non-coding RNA (OEUR_LNC011576)". Lineage: Eukaryota; Viridiplantae; Streptophyta; Magnoliopsida; Lamiales; Oleaceae. The record is from RNAcentral.
UGGCAAAUAUUGCUCCUUUAUUACAUGAUUUCUAUAAAGAAAUGCCAUAACACUGCAUAAUACCCAGUAACACUUCAAGAAGUUGAUGCUGAUUUUGGAGCAGACGGGUUAAAAGGAAGUUGUUCAGCACAGGUGAGAACUUCAUGGGGUCCUGCCUCCUCUCGGCCGACACCCAUCAAGUCGAGGUAAUACUGGUAAUGGGAUACAAUGUUGUUCAUGGAGUCGACAUCACCUUGACCACAAACACUGUCACCAUACAAAAUGUUCAUUGUGGUGCCAAAACCCGGAAACCGUUUAGCCAAGGUAUCGUUUUUGGUGGGUUUCCAGUUGCCAACAAAGGCAUCAUGAGACGAAGGUUGUCCUUUCUUUAUUGGUGUCAUCCAUCUCCAAAUUGCGGCCUGGAAAGCGAGGGUGGCAUUUUGUUCAAUGUAUUCAGGAUGGUUCAACAAAUCGAC